Molecule: ribosomal RNA, 497 nt
Filed under: uncultured bacterium
Lineage: Bacteria
Description: partial 16S ribosomal RNA
Rfam family: Bacterial small subunit ribosomal RNA
Source: RNAcentral
GAUGAACGCUGGCGGCGUGCCUAAUACAUGCAAGUCGAGCGAACGGACGAGAAGCUUGCUUCUCUGCUGUUAGCGGCGGACGGGUGAGUAACACGUGGAUAACCUACCUAUAAGACUGGGAUAACUUCGGGAAACCGGAGCUAAUACCGGAUAAUAUUUUGAACCGCAUGGUUCAAAAGUGAAAGACGGUCUUGCUGUCACUUAUAGAUGGAUCCUCGCUGCAUUAGCUAGUUGGUAAGGUAACGGCUUACCAAGGCAACGAUGCAUAGCCGACCUGAGAGGGUGAUCGGCCACACUGGAACUGAGACACGGUCCAGACUCCUACGGGAGGCAGCAGUAGGGAAUCUUCCGCAAUGGGCGAAAGCCUGACGGAGCAACGCCGCGUGAGUGAUGAAGGUCUUCGGAUCGUAAAACUCUGUUAGUAGGGAAGAACAUAUGUGUAAGUAACUGUGCACAUCUUGACGGUACCUAAUCAGAAAGCCACGGCUAACUACGUG